Molecule: ribosomal RNA, 496 nt
Filed under: uncultured bacterium
Lineage: Bacteria
Description: partial 16S ribosomal RNA
Rfam family: Bacterial small subunit ribosomal RNA
Source: RNAcentral
AUGAACGCUGGCGGCGUGCCUAAUACAUGCAAGUCGAGCGAACAGAUGAGGAGCUUGCUCCUCUGACGUUAGCGGCGGACGGGGUAGUAACACGUUGAUAACCUACCUAUAAGACUGGGAUAACUUCGGGAAACCGGAGCUACUACCGGAUAAUAUAUUGCACCGCAUGGUUCAAUAGUGAAAUAAGGUUUUGCUGUCACUUAUAGAUGGAUCCGCGCCGCAUUAGCUAGUUGGUCAGGUAACGGCUUACCAAGGCAACGAAGCGUAGCCGACCUGAGAGGGUGAUAGGCCACACUGGAAGUGGGACACGGUCCAGACUCCUACGGGAGGCAGCAGUAGGGAAUCUUCCGCAAUGGGCGAAAGCCUUGCGGAGCAACGCCGCGUGAGUGAUGAAGGUCUUCGGAUCGUAAAACUCUGUUAUUAGUGAAGAACAAAUGUGUAAGUAACUAUGCACGUCUUGACGGUACCUAAACAGAAAGCCACGGCUAACUACGUG